GCUGCACCCAUGGCAUAUGGAAGUUUCCAGGUUAGGGAUUGAAUCGGAGCUACAGUUGUGCACCAUAGCCGCAGCAACACAAGGUUCCAGCCACAUUUAUGACUUAUACAAUAGCUCACGGCAACGCGGGAUCCCCAGCCCACUGAGCGAGGCCAGGGAUCGAACCUGCAUCCUCAUGAAUACUAGCUGGAUUCUGUUCCCCUGCACCACAACGGGGACUCCAACAGCAGCUCUCUCUCGUAUGCGGACUUAAGUGUGAUCACUGCUCUACUUUUCAAAUUUUCUAGAUUUUUAUACAUAUUUAAAGUCUAAAUAUUUUUUACAAUGAGGAGGACAACACUGUUUUUAAAAUGAUUAUUUUGUUUUGAAGACAGUAUUUUUAAGAAAAUUACAUGUAGACUAAUAAAGUAAUACAUCCAUGGAAAACAGAGAAGUCAGUUUUGAAUUAUUAAGCCUGAUCACAUAUUCUAUUUGCCCAUCAUUCAGAAUAUUUUUUCAAAUGGUUUCAAUAUAAUAAAGCCUUAAAUGUUUUGCUCCAAGCAUUCCUGAUUUGAUUUUUCACACAUCGUGCAUUUUAAGAGCUGUUCAUCUGAUUGCUUUUUGUUCAUUUAAACUUAUCUCAUCAAAAUGCAAAAUUUAUAAGAGCUAUUUCAUCCCCCCAAAACAUUUAAGUCUAAUUUAUUUUCUAAUUUUUCUUAGAAAAAGGAAAACAAAUUUUACUAAAAGUAAAUGAACUUAAGCUACAAAAGUUUGAGCCUGACACAGAAAUAAGUUAAACAUCAUGAGACUGAAAAGCACCCAGGCCUUCAAUUCUUAAUUCAAAAGGUUUAUUUACCCACAUACGAUUAACACUCAGAACAGCUUUUCUUCUCUCUUAGAUCUUAUAUUCCACAUUCUUCUGUAACAUAGCAAAUGGAUGGCGACCUUGCUCCUAGGAAACAGGUGGAAAUCUGCCAUAAGCCUGUGACUGACCUGGGCGCUGAUUCAACUUCAUUCUUUCCUCUUUCUCAGUGUUUGGUGCUGGCCAUGGUUUCUUCAAGGUCUCUUCUUAAUUAAGAUCUUGCUACCUGAUCUUCAGCCUCAUUUUCUGCAGAGUAGGUUCUGAGCUUGCUUGCUCCUCACACAGACUGGAUUUCCACAACAAGCCACACUGAAUCAGCAGACUCCAAAGUCACCAUUCUCCUGGUCUGUCUUCCACCUGAAGACGGCUUUGUCCUGAAGCUCUCUCCUGUCUCAUAUACUGGGAACCAAAGCCUGUCCUGCUUGCCAUUUCCCUCCUUCUCUUUCUCCAAUCCUGUGAUUUCAAGUCCAUCAAAUCUCUCAUUUAGUUUCAAGACUCUUGACACUAAACUUACUAAUUCCUCUAUCUAAAACGUCCUUUGAAAUUGUCCGUCUACCACACCUAGCAAAUACUUCGUUGAAUGUCAAGACUCAAUUUAAUCACCUCCUCCCUAGGGACUUCUAAUCUCUCUAGUAGAGUACAUGUCCACUUUCUUCUCUGAGCAACCCCCCUCCCACACACAGUGACACACACAGACACACAGACACACGCACACACAUGGGCUAUUUCUCUUAUGUUGGCAUUACUUGUUUACAUGUCUUUCUUCUCGACCAGACGCUAAGCUCCUUAAAGACACGCCAUGCCUCACUUGUCUACAUGUACUCAGUACCUCCUCGAGACAGGCAACAGUCAUAACAUAUUCUCCAUAAGUCUGUUGGGUGAAUUAAAUAUGGCCUAUCAGGAGGCUUAUCUUGAUUUUUAGACACUAUCCUUGGUAUGGUAACCUUCUCUUAGCCUACAUUCAGCUAUAUGUGAGUAGGCUAAAGAGCCUGGAAUUUAUACAAUGGUCAGUUGGGAGACACUGCACUUUCAGAGGCCGGGAACUCUCGUAUCAGAUGGUACUUUGGAAAAGUCUGGAAAUAACAUCCAGAAGUGACUGAGACCUGAGAGGAAUUUAGCUGUUACCCAACCUCGCCUGGGAUGACAAGUUUCUACAGUAAGAUGGUGACAAUAAAAGAUAGAGAAGGAAAAAAAAAAUCUCUAAGAUGUCCCACAAUGCAUGUCAGGAAUAUUGGUGAAUCUGAGGCUCAGAGAGGUGCUACAUCUGCAGCAAAUUCUCAAGGGCUUAUUGAAACCAGUGGCUUUCCUACUCCUUCAAAGACUGCUCCUCUCCCCUCAAAAUGUGAGAUACUUAUGACUCAGUUAGAUGUACUAAAAACACAGUGGGCUGCCAAGCAUACUCGCUGAACUGAGAAUACAUUAAUAUUCCAUGCUUCUUGGGUACAAGGUUGGAGUCAAUGCCAGAAAUGGCUCUUCCUUAUAAGAGCCAAAAGUUCCAUCACAGGUUCAAUAAGGGUGUCAUCACUAAGUUAAGAUGCUGUUACAAAGGCUAAUAAGAGGAUUAAAUACAUUAAAAAGAGGGCCAAGACUCAUACAAAUUUGAUUUCCUUUCCCCAAAAGAAUACCAAGCAUCUGAGAUAUAGGAGGUUAAGUGAAGGGCAAAAGAGAUGCCUAGAUUCAUUUAUAAGUGAUUUACUUUUGGAGAGAUUUUGAAAGAUUAUUUAACUUAGAAUGAAGAGUAAAAUAUUCAAGGCAGUUUUAUGCUAAUUAAUGAAAAAGUGGAAAUGGAUAUUAAAUUUCUAACUCACCAGCAUCAUGGACAAGACAAGAAAAGAAAGCCAAUUUUCGGUUUUUCUGAGGAACUUCUUACAUAAUUUAUAGAUCUUUAUAUACAAAGAUACACUUUAAAACUGGACUUUAAGAAGUUUUUUCAAUUAAUAUAGUUGGGUAAAGUAAAGAAAAUAGGCUUACAUGAACUAUCUACACAUUUUUCUUCAAUUUACUUCUGGAAUACUGUUAUGAGAGGACUGGCCAAAAUUGUGAUGCAAAAGUUGGCCAAAAAAAUCCAAAGGAAGGAAAAUAAUUUCUUCUCAGAACUAAGCAGAAGACCUUAGUUGUAAAAGUCAAAAACGUAAACAGAUAAAAAUUUAAAUUAUUAAUUUCUAAACACAGAGUGCUAACUACUACAGUCAAGUCAUUUUUCCCUGUGGUUGAGUCUCUUAACUAUAAAACAUAAAUAAACGGAUGAAUCUCUUUGAUGACAUUAUUAAGUAUUUCACACCUUACAUAUCAGUCGGUGAAGAGAGCACUGAAGCACAGAAGAACAAGAUUAUGUUUGCAAAACAGGGCUUGUAGGAAUAAGUCUUGUCCUUCUACAAAGUUCCGAAUCCUUUAUAGGUCUUCAAAUUUGUAAGAAUUAGGCUUAAAUACUUUUAAAUGGAAAGCAAAAUACACUGGAAUAAAACGCAUGUCUAUAUGACUUUAAACAUCAAAUGUGAACAUAUUUUCUGUAUCAUCUGGUUAAUAUGCUGGCUUCAGAACUUAACAAUUCUGAGGAUAACAUAUGCUGAUUAUGGUCCAUGUGUUGUUGUUUUUUUUUUUUUUUUCACAUGGUUUACUCUGCCAUAUAGACAUUCCAAGUGCCCCUGAAAAAAAAAAAAGAUGUUAUGACUAGAAAUCCAUUUCUAGAAACAAGUUCACGCUCAAAUUUGCAUGACAACGUCUAGAAUGUUUUAUCCCUCUUAAAACCAGAGUCACAGCUCUUAAAAUCACUUCUUGCACUUUAAUAAACAGAGUCCAAGCUGAUGGUUACAUGGUUUGUGUUUAUCUUAAAAGCUCAUGAAUCCCACAGAAGACUUACGGCCAUAUUGAGUAAGGGGGGGGUCCCCAAAAACUUACUGGUUAUUUUUUAAAUGGUACCUUGCCUGUCUCUAAACAAUAUGAAACUCAACAGCAAGAACAAUAAUCCUUUAAAGUGAUAUUUUGCUCUACACCUAAGCCAAAUUCAAAGAUGAUAUCUAUGAAAAUAUGAUCAUUGUAUGUUGCAAAACCUAGAUAAAGUUUCAGGGUUUGGCCAGCCUCCGAGGUAAGCAGCAAAGAUAAAUAUUGCGCAACUACUAAUCUGUAAAGAAUUCCGUGUGGAUUUCAUGGUUCCAGCUUCUAGACUCCCCUUUCCUUGCACACUAACACAAAUAAAUAAACAAGUAAACAAAUAAAAACCAUACCUGUGAAAGAAUAGAGUGCUUUAAUACCCAAAAGAGCUGACUGGCAGUGAGAGAACAAGUAUAUUCCUAAAGGUUUUCCGUAAAUUGCAUAAUGGUUUCUCACUGACAAACCCAACAAUUAUUCCUGAGAUGGAUGUGUUGAUUUAGCAACGCUCUAUCACUCAGAAUGCCCCUGUUUAUGCUUUUCCUCUCCCACGGGGCCGUCAUUCUCGGGAGUUAUCCCUCUGCACGAGCAGCGAGACCCAUAUCGGAAAGAGAUACCAAUUAAGCAAGUUAUUCUAUAAAACAAAGAAAGUUUUUAAAAACAGAAAUAAAGCAAACCUCAGGAAAGUCAUGCAAACAUAUAAUCUACUACCAAGAAAACUUGAAAUCUGUGAAAAUCUCCACUGAUUGAAGUACUUGAAGUUUCAGUGGAGUUCUGUUGCUAGAGCUGACUCUAUUUACGCCUGUCUGGAGAGAGAACGUGGAAUAAUGCGUGCAAAGUAUUAUCUGAUACAUCUUUAAAGUCCCUCCGUCAACUAGUAAAUAAACAAAGGCAACUGCUAAGGUUUUCACUAUGUUGAUUCCUGCCCUGCCCGUAUAAGAGUUUGAACAUAACUGGUGAGUGAGUGUCCUGGGAGUCUCAGAACACCAAGAAAAACUGUGUAAUCCUUUCCGAUGUGAUUGUGAUUUAAAAGGGGGAAAUCUCUGUGAGGGUCCAGAAGCUGAGUUUUAAUUUUAUGGCUUCUGCAUCCUAAAUCACAUAGCAAGAGGCAAACAGGACCUUUAAUUAAGUAAAUGGGUUUUGUUUUUCCUGAAACAGAAAGAGAAGCUCUGUAAAAGUGAACGUGUUUGGAGGAGAAAAAGAGAGAGAGAAGGAAAGAAUAUGGCAAAAGAUACCUGAAAUAAAGUUUACAAUGGAAGGAAUUUAUAUUGAUUAUUUAUUGAGUUAGGUUGAGUUCGUAGGCACUUGGUGAUUCUGCAGACGCGCUCCUUGACAGCAAAGUCCUAGGGAUCCAACAGU
Molecule: long non-coding RNA, 5068 nt
Filed under: Sus scrofa (pig)
Lineage: Eukaryota; Metazoa; Chordata; Mammalia; Artiodactyla; Suidae
Description: lncRNA (ENSSSCG00060006363.1)
Source: RNAcentral